This 77-nucleotide transfer RNA is filed under the name Patescibacteria group bacterium. RNAcentral describes it as "tRNA-Gly". It matches the Rfam family "tRNA". From Rfam's summary of the family: Transfer RNA (tRNA) molecules are approximately 80 nucleotides in length. The record is from RNAcentral.
GCAGGCAUAGCUCAAUUGGCUAGAGCGCGUCCUUGCCAAGGACGAGGUUGCGAGUUCGACCCUCGUUGCUUGCUCCA